This 4687-nucleotide long non-coding RNA is filed under the name Brassica rapa (field mustard). RNAcentral's name for it is "long non-coding RNA (BRAP_LNC002065)". Lineage: Eukaryota; Viridiplantae; Streptophyta; Magnoliopsida; Brassicales; Brassicaceae. The record is from RNAcentral.
GUUAGACUGAAAAACUCGGCCACCGUCUUCUCCACCCUACGCAUUAAGUCCAACGACAAACCAUGGUUGAUCACCUGGAAAAAGCCCCAUCUCAUGCAUGCUUCUGCAAUCUCUGUCGCUAGCGCUGUCUUGUCGCAGUUUGGGUCUUGGAGGGAGGAGAGGUCGAUGGUCGGGAUCUCCUUGGAGAGAAUGUGGUCAUCGGAGUGUUUGAGAUGAGUUUUGGGUCUGUGUUCUGGAGCUUGGAUAAAAGCUUCGUCGAGUACUCCCAUGGUGGUUUUUUUGUCGGUGAUUCUUAUGUUUAUCUUUUAAGGCUUUGGAAGAUAUCCGAUGAUUCUUGUGGUGCAUGCGGUUGGGUUUGUUUUAUAGGAAGAUGUCUGUCACGUGUAACAAAACGCUUUUAUUGGUAUGAUGAAUGUAGACACGUUUCUGUGAACAAUUAACUUUUUUUUUCACAUUUGGUUAAUUAGGAAUUACAGUCAUGCCAGUUGUUGAAAGACGACCAAAAUAAGCCAAAGAUGUAUGUAGACGGAGGAUAUUCAUAAAGUUCAUCAGCGUUUAAUAUAGACUAUAGAUGCCCCUUCUAGAAAAAAAAAAUUAACCAUUUUUUAUUUUUGCAAACAACCAUUACAAAAGGAGAGGAGGAUUAGUUCACGAGAAAAUAGCUCUGAAUCUAGACGGAAUUUUGGAAGGGUGGAGGAUGUGAUAUACGCAAGUCAAAUCUUAUUGGAUACUUGGAUCUCGAUCCGAAGUCUUAUAUAUUUGCAAAAAACAAAAGAAAAUUAUGACAUGAUUUUAAAGAACAUAUCAGAUAUUGUUUCCGACAUAAACUCAGUCUCUCACAUAUUAUUACAUUAAGGGCUUGCAUCAUAGCUUUGGUAAUAAAAAGUAGACGCAUAGAACAUACUCUUAUUAAGGAUGUGACUGGUUUGUUACAUUCCCAAACGCAAGUUUUACGGUUGAUAACGCUUGACAGCAUUUCGAAAAAAUCAUACAAACCUCUACAAAUCACUUCAAAUCACUCCGAACCUCUUAAAAUCAAAAGCUGGUUCCAGUUAGUGUUUGCAGUUGCGAGCGGUUGUGGAUGGAUAAAUAAAUAUAAAUUGUUUUUCAAAAAUAUUUAAAAAUUUUAAAAUUAAAAUUUUAAAAUAGAAGUACGAUAAAUAAAAAUAUAUACAUAUUUUAUAUAUUAUUUUAAAUUCACAAACAGUACAUAAUUUGUUUUAUAAAAACUUUAAACUAACUAACUAUUCAUUAGAAUUUUUAAAAAUUAAUAUACAUACAUAUUUUUUUUUAAAGUUUAAUAGAAAUCUUCAAAAAAAAUUAUAACUUUCAACUAAUUUGAAAAAUUAUUUAAACAAACAUAAUACUAUUAUUAACCAUAUUAUAUUGAUAUUAUUAUAUUUUAUUACAAUAAUAUGUUUUCAUAGUUUCAUAAUGUUAUAAUAUGUUAAUAUUGGUAAUUUAUUAUUAAACCAGUGCAAUAUCUAAUUAUAAUCAACCAGUCACAAAUAUCCCGCAAACGUAACAAUUUUCAAACAUUGUGCCAGUCAUACAAAACACUUAACAACACUUGAAAACACAACCACCCGCAUCCACACACUCCCGCAUCCGCAACCGCAACCACUGCAUUUGAACCAACCGGACCCUAAAUUAUAAGGUUUUCAGGACUCACUCUUCUAAUGGCUUCACUUCCACAUCAUGUGAAGGCAUCAAGAAGAAUGCUAUUGGGUAUCUUUCUCUUGGUGUACCAAGAAUCCCCACCACUCUAUGUUCUACAUUCCAAUACUUAUCAUUUAUGAUUCAUCCAUACCUAGUAGUAUAGAUAUAGUCGUUAUAAUUAGAUACUGCAUGUGUAUAUCUUAGAAAAAUGAGAAGUAAUAUCUAGAAUUUCACCUCCAUUUGUAAUCCUCCAACUUUGUCUUGAGCCAAUAGACCGUGGGCAUGGUGGAUAACGAUUUAUCCUUAAGAAAACUCAUUUGAUCUUUAAAGUAAUCAUGGAAUGAGUUCUAAAAGCCUGUAUGCUAGCUUUUCAGCGUGUCUUACGUACUCGUCACAUGCCUCCCUAAAACUAAAUAAGAAAAAAGAGAUUAACUUGCAUAGUUGAAAAUAAAUUCUUUUACCGAAUUGCUUGUAUGCUAUGUCCUACAUGUAAGUUGUAACUUGUAAUAUUAAUGCAGCCUUGGAAGAUAGCGUUCACGUGCAUCCAGUAGAGUUGUGUACUUGUGUAAAGUGAUAAGAUUCUGUUCAUAUUGGUUAACUUAGUUUUUUCUUUGUAACAAACACUUAUAUUAAACACACUAACCAAAGUUAGGUGGAGUCAUAAUGGCAAGUUCAACAGCCAAGCAUUGUUUAGCUAAAUUAUCAGCAUACCUGUUACUCUCACGAGAAAUCCAGGACCAAGAAAAACACUCAAAAGAGGAAACAGCAGAGAUGAUAUCUGUAAUUACUCCAAACACUCUUCAGUAAAAGAAGAGCCCAAAUUGAUUGCUUUAACUAGUUGCGCCAAGUCAGAUUCGCAUCUGGUAUUGGGAGGCCAAGAUUCCCGCUCUUAAAAAUUUCCUCACGAAGCGCCAAAGCUUCAGCCGCAAGAAGGGAUGUCACAUGUCGAUAAAGAGCAGAGAAAGAGGAUAUUCUGUUUUGGUUUUCAAUUGUGCAACCAAGCCCCACCGUAUGGUGACUCUCAUUCCACAAAAUAUCGAUUUAACAAGGACAUAGUUAAAACCGAUAUGUUUGGAAUGAGAGUAAAUGGAGACUGAUGAUUGCAUACAUGCUAUAGAUACUUAUUCUAUUUAUUGUUUUCAUAGGAUAAGUAGAGAAAAAAAUUUAGGAAUAAUUAAGAAGAAAGAUAAAGUGAUUCGGCUACAGAAAAUUGGUAAUGUAAAUAUAUGUUGUGAGACUGAUGAUUGCAUACUAUGCUUUUUUUUUGGAUCACAGCUUCUUUUCAUUAACUUCAACUUGGUUGAUUACAAAUGCUAGAAAAUAUUAUCUAUCCUCUUUAAUUGAAAACAUAAACUACAACAACAUAAAAUGAAAAGGACAGAUCUUCAAAAAAAGAUGACAGCGAAAUCAAGAUGUUGUUUGAAUGCGUCGAUGUAGCCUUUACAACAUGCUUGGACAGCAGAAAGAUAGUCACUUUGAAUUGUGGCGUUGACGUUGAUUAAUAUAAAUACAUUAAUCAAGAUAUUUAAAAUAUUUUAGAAAUAUUCACUCUGCAUCACUUUUAACAGGUUGGAGAGUAAAACAUGAGUCAUGUUCAUUGACAUUAUUAGGAAAUGUUGUGCUACUAAACAUAGUGAGAUUACUUAAGCGGCCUUGAAGCGAUCAAUCUGGAUGCUCUCAGUUUGGAGCUUCUUGUAAUCACUUCUGUUUCUCGCAGCAAAGAACUUGCCCCAAUUGUACUUUUUGUAACAAGGCGGGCUGUCUUCGCUUAUAAGCUCUUUCAAUGGCUCAAUGUUGGUAUCAUGGGAUGGGAAAAGGAAGAAUGGCAUUGAGAAUCUCUCUUUGCUUGAAUUCACUACCACUCUAUGUUCUGCACUCCAAUACUUGUCAUUUGUCCAUACCUACUCCACACAACAAAUAUUAUGACCAAGUUACAUUAGACCCCAAAAAAUUUCGAGUUAAUAUAUAUAAACAUAGACCCCUAAAUUGUUAAAAAAAAAAAACUAUUAAAUUGAUUUAAGUCCUCUAAAAUGUCAGGGUCAGCCCUUCAAUAUAACAUUCAAAGUUGAUGUCUUUUACCUGCAUGCAGUUGCCAAUGUUAAUGAUGAAAGCAUCAGGGUUCGGUUUGACAGAGAACCAUUGUCCAUCUGAUCUACGGCUCACUUGUAACCCACCCACACUAUCUUGUGCCAAGACGGUUAUAACUCCUGCGUCUGCGUGGCGUCCAACGCCUAAUGCUAGCUCCGGGUUCGGGCAAGGAGGGUAAUGGUUAAACCGCAAAAAGCUUGUUUGGUCCUUGAAGUAACCUGUUAACCGAUCACCGGGUAGACCCAAGCUAAUGGAGAUAAGUUCCAAAAGCUUGAAAGCUAACUUCUCAACUUCUCUUGCAUAUUCUUGGCACACCUCUCUACCAAACAUGAUUAGUAUUAAUAAAUGGAUCCUAAUUAGGCCCAAUGGGCCUUAAUUAAAGCCUUGUUUUAAAGCGUGUUUUAGAGGAUCACCUGAAGUCGGAAGGGUUUUGAGGCCACGGGUUAGUCAGCUUCCUGAGCUCGGUAUCUUCCGGCUCUGUAGUCGCCGGAACCGUCGUCGAGUCCUGCAAAAAGAAAUCGAAAAUCUCUUUCCAGUCUCUAACGUUUUUGGUAUGUUCUCCGUCGUGAUAACCCAUAGGGUUCACUUCAUCUCUUUUCACUCUUCUCUUCUCCUCCAACGUUAGACUGAAAAACUCGGCCACCGUCUUCUCCACCCUACGCAUUAAGUCCAACGACAAACCAUGGUUGAUCACCUGGAAAAAGCCCCAUCUCAUGCAUGCUUCUGCAAUCUCUGUCGCUAGCGCUGUCUUGUCGCAGUUUGGGUCUUGGAGGGAGGAGAGGUCGAUGGUCGGGAUCUCCUUGGAGAGAAUGUGGUCAUCGGAGUGUUUGAGAUGAGUUUUGGGUCUGUGUUCUGGAGCUUGGAUAAAAGCUUCGUCGAGUACUCCCAUGGUGGUUUUUUUGUCGGUGAUUCUUAUGUUUAUCUUUUAAGGCUUUGGAAG